CGUGUAGGCGGCCGUACAGGUCCGGUGUGAAAACUCGAGGCUCAACCUCGAGAGGUCAUCGGAAACCGUACGGCUAGAGUCCGGAAGAGGAGAGUGGAAUUCCUGGUGUAGCGGUGAAAUGCGCAGAUAUCAGGAAGAACACCCAUGGCGAAGGCAGCUCUCUGGGACGGUACUGACGCUGAGACGCGAAAGCGUGGGAGCGAACA
Molecule: ribosomal RNA, 206 nt
Filed under: uncultured bacterium
Lineage: Bacteria
Description: partial 16S ribosomal RNA
Rfam family: Bacterial small subunit ribosomal RNA
Source: RNAcentral